CCUACGGGGGACAGCAGUGGGGAAUAUUGCACAAUGGGGGAAACCCUGAUGCAGCGACGCCGCGUGAGUGAAGCAGUAAUUCGUUAUGUAAAGCUCUAUCAGCAGGGAAGAAAAUGACGGUACAUGAGUAAGAAGCCCCGGCGAACUACGUGCCAGCAGCCGCGGUAAUACGUCGGGGACAAGCGUUAUCCGGAUUUACUGGGGGAAAAGGGAGCGUAGACGGCAGUGCAAGUCUGGAGUGAAAGGCGGGGGCUCAACCCCCGGACUGCUCUGGAAACUGUACGGCUGGAGUGCAGGAGAGGUAAGUGGAAUUCCUAGUGUAGCGGUGAAAUGCGUAGAUAUUAGGAGGAACACCAGUGGCGAAGGCGGCUUACUGGACUGUAACUGACGUUGAGGCUCGAAAGCGUGGGGAGCAAACAGGAUUAGAUACCCGUGUAGUC
Molecule: ribosomal RNA, 440 nt
Filed under: uncultured bacterium
Lineage: Bacteria
Description: partial 16S ribosomal RNA
Rfam family: Bacterial small subunit ribosomal RNA
Source: RNAcentral